AUUUAUUUUUCUAUUGGGAGAUUAAAGAACCUCAAGGACUGGAUUUGGGGGAAAUUUCUGGUUUUGAUUAUGGAUUCUAUGGAGCGGUGAAGAGUUAUUGGUGCAUCAAUCAAAACGUUAGGGUUCUCCAUCACGAUGGGUUGAAUUGAUAAGUUGAUGUGUCGGCCUAGUCUUGCAUUAGUUUUGGUUUUAUAUUUUCUUUUUGGUUCAAUAUACCAUUAUAUUGCCAAUGUAGUUGUCUUUAAUAAUGGAUAUAGCUGAAUAAGGCCCUCUAAGAAUAUCUUUGGUCUUCGUAUUAGACUGUUUUGUUUAGUAGGCGCAGUUAUAUGUAAUUAAUUACGUUGAGUUGGGUAGUCAGUUUGUGUUGUACUAUGUGCAAUAGGUCUUCUUGGAUAACAUGUUCCUUAUCUUGAAUCACCAUGGUAAGUGAAAUCUGUGUAUCUGGUUGAGCUUUUAAAGAAUGUUUCAUCUGGUUUACGGUUUAUUUGAUGUCGUGCAAUGUUUGCUUCUCAUUAUUUUAUUAUUAAUGCCACUAGAAGGAUAAGUAAAAUUAGUUUUCCUUAUUGUUAUAUUAAAUUUUACAGAAGUAGUUUGUUCUUGAAUAAUAUAGCUCGAAUGAUUUUGAAGUAGUUGUGCAGAAGUUUAGAAAUUUGUCACACCAAGAGUUUACUAGCGCUUGAAAUUGAUUGUUAUCAUCAGAAUCUUUUAGGACAUGCAUUAUACAUGUCUUUGACCUAUAACCAAAGGCGGAAAAAAAAAAGUCCAGAUGGUUAUUUUCAUCUCUUUUCUUAACCACCAAUUUAUUAUGGGCCAGGAUAAACUAGAUCAGGCCACAGCUAGCCAGGUCAUCUAAGAAGUUGGGACUUUGUCCAAUCCGUCCAAUCCUAGUCUCAAAUGCUAUCAGGCUGAUCCAAUCCCUUGAUUCUUGUUUUUUGGGUUUUUUUGUAUAUUCUUUAAAGGUUCAACUGGUUGCAGAUGCUAAUUUGUGCGUAAAUUUAAUCAAGCAGAAAUAAAGUUAGUUUUGGCUGAUUUGCACGAGUGAUUCUUAUUUUUAGCUGAUCUUUGAUUCGGAGGCUUCAAGUUAGGUUGAGGUCUAAAUUCUCUCGAACUGUUUUAAACUCUCUUUCUAUAUAUACACAGAGAAGGAUGAUGGAGCAGGAAAUGAACUAUAAUACACAAGAAAGCAUUUGUGGCCUCGAUAUUUUCCUUUCAAAUUAAUGAAGGAAUACUUGGACAGGAAAUCAGCACCAUCAAAUAUAAUCUGGUGGUUUUUACAAUUUUUUUCCAGUGCAUUUAUUAGAUGACCUGAUCCAUCGUAAGUAUCAUUGGUGCGCAGCCAGCUGGGUAUCAAUAAGAGUGUUUUGUUGACUAUAAUGUGUAGCGAUGUUCUGCAAUCUUAUUUGGAUUGAACUAGAAUAUGUUGUGACUUAAACUGGAUGUUUUAGCAUAUGUGAAUUAAGUGAUACGUUAGAUAGCCCUGUCGGGUUCCUUAGUUUGCUUGAUGAUACACUUUUUCCUGAAUGGUGGUAUGAUGAUACCAGGAGACGAAAAUUAGUAUUGUUUUUCUGAGCUAAGUUUUGGAUCAGAAGUACAUUCCGUUGGUUUCUUAGACCCUAAGUUUGAACCAUUAUUAAGUUGUUUAGUCUGCAUAAAGUAUUUCUUGGUGUAAUUUUGUCAAUGGUUAUGCUUGUGAUGGCUCCACAUGUCAGUUUCUCUGUUGUGGUUGUCCCUACUCCGCUGUAGAAGUUGAGUUGCCUACUCGUUUCUGCCAACAAUGAUACAUAAACUUUAAAUAACAUUAUUGUUAUCAUUUUUUCUUUAAAUUUAAAUUGAUUGAAGAAAUUUUCAGGUGCACUUAUGACUGCCGGUGUGCUUACGGCAGGUCUAGUUAGCUUCAGGCAAGGAAAUUCUCAGCUGGGACAGAAGCUGAUGAGGGCACGAGUUGUAUUUCAAGGUGCAACAGUUGCAUUGAUGGUUGGCAGUGCUUACUACUAUGGUGAGACCUUUAGGGGUUCUAAGAACAAAAAUUAAAUGAUAUAAAGAUGGCUUGCAGUCAUCUUUCAUCUAUGACUGAGUUUUUAUUGGCAUCAAAAUAAUUUAUUACACGUUUUCUUUCACUUGGGAAAAGAGUGGUAGCUGACCAAAUCUUCUGGAAAAUAUAGUGGCAAUGAAAUAAUGCGCCAGUACUUUCGUGUUUGUAUUAUUUACACAAUUGUAUCAGAAUGUAUUAUGUAAUCAUGUGAUGGAUCCAUGUAUGACAUGAACAUUUGGAAACAUAUUGGUUAUAAAUGGACACUUUGAGUCAAAUAUCAGGAAUUACCAUUGCAAGUAGGAUUAAGGAUGGAUCUCAAACAAGGAUAUGAAGAUGGAAGCAGGGUAGUCAUAUUAUUUUUAGUUAAAUAAGGUUUGGCAAGGGAAUUCAACAGAUGAUAACCAUACUGUCAUGGCUGUCAUGCAAGACUCCAUAUUAGGAUGAACUUUGAAGAAAUUUAGAACUUUGUGAUACCUAAUGGUAGUUGACCUCAAAAACCAAACUAUCAGGAAAUCUGCUUCAAUGCAACAGAAAACUGCAGGAAUUUAGAAGUGGGAAGUGAAUUAUUGUGUGUUUAUGGCUUUUUAGACAUGUCUGAAAAGAAAGAUUAGACAAAUGAAGUGGUGACUAAGUAUGACUGACCAAAUUGGAUCAUGCAGCUUCUUCUUCAAUGAAUGCAUCUCUACCACACCUUAGGCAUAGUAAACUUUGCUUUUGUCAAGCUAGGGUUUGAAAGAAGAAGAAGAAGAAGAAGAAGAAGAAGCCCUUAAAAAAAUAUACACGCUACUAUCAAGCAAACACUUUUCUUCGAAAAAUGAGAAAAAUGAAAGCUGAAGACUUUUUUCUGAUAAAAUUGAUCAAAAAUAUAUUUUAUAUUUUUAUAAGUAGUAUUUCAAUGAUAAAAAGGGAAUUCCAAAACAUCUGUUAGUGGAUCAGUAGUCUAUAAAUCCAACCCAUACAAAUCAAGCCAUUUCAAUGAUCAAAGAUGGAGGCAUAUGAAUUCCUUUAUUACCAAAGUAUUUAUGUGAAGAUGGAUUCUGCAAUUUUGCUGCUUCCACAUGCAUGAAAAGUCUCCAGCUUGAGAUCUUCUUCAAGAUGAGAUCCACCGCUAUGGAGAAGGGUUAGUAACAAUGGCACACUGUCCAUUUCCCAGUCCUUAAUUCUUCUGAUAUAUCCAUCUGUUCAAGUGACAGUUUGGCAGGAAGAGUUGCAGCAGAUCAAAGCCACAAGUGGGUGUUCGAGGAGCUCCAAGAUCAUGAGAUCAAUGCUUUGCCCGGGUGGAGCAACCUUGUUGAUGAUUCUGUGUGUGUGCCUCCGCCCACAUGAUCUGUCUCUUCAUGGUGCAAGCUUCUUUUUGAUGUGUCGAAUUCCUCUCUCUCUCUCUCUCUAUACGAUUCUUCCACAAAGCUUUGUGCUAAUUCCUUCUCACCCAUGCAGACUGUAGCUUUUGAUAUUGGUUUCAAUCUUUUGUCACCAUGUUGCAUAGCAAACUUAAUAAUCCAUCAUCGAGCAUAUAGUUCUCACAGGAUGUCCCAAUUUAAUUCUAAUAUCUUAAUAAUUAAAAACAUUAAUCUAAUGUAAUAGUUCAUGAGUAUACCUUUCUGCUCAUGACAGUUGAUUAAGUUGGAACUGAGAGAAAUCGCAGUGAUGCCAUUUCUGAGUUGUGUCAACCUUUUCUAUUCUUCUUCUUCUUCUUCCUGUUUAUCUAUAUAAUGGUCUAUCCUUCAAAGUAAAUGACCCUUGUCUCACCAUGUUGUUCUUCAUCAAUUAAUACUUGAUUGAGAAUUUUCUAUAAAAACAACAUUGUCACAGUAUUGUAAUUAUGACUCUGUAUCAAUGUAUUCUGAACCAGCAUAGUGAUCUUGACAUUUUAAGAUUGAGAAAGAGAAUGUUCUUAAUGCCCAAAUUUUUUAUGGCAGGCAUAUUACUUUUACUACAUAAGGGUUGUCUGAGCUGCAAAGUUGGCAGUAACUCUGAGAAUAAUGGAUGCUAUCCUACAUUUGGCAGCUAGUGCUGGUCCAAAAGAUGUUAAGCUUUUGGCUGUGGUGAUGUUACAGAAAACCAAUCCUCUUCUCAGGUCCAAAGCAUUCUUCCCUUCAUUCUUCUCAUCAAAACUUUGGGAAAAAACUUAGAACCUGCUGUGCAACAGCCAAGAAAACACAUCCUUAUCCUCCAAGUAUGCAUCUUAUUAUUCAACUGGAAUGAUGACAUUAAUUUUCUCCAUCUCUCUAAUUCCUUUACCCUCAAGACAAAGUAUGGAAUGACAUGUUGUCAUUGACAAAGUAGCAUCAUUGCAUAUGAUUUCAAUUCUCUGCCUGUCCUACUUGUAUCUUCUAAUGGUUCAUUUAAUAUAGACUACUUGAAUCUAUAAUUCCUUGAAAUGGUUUGACAUUGCCUUUAUUAUAUGCCAACAGCUUUGUUUUCUUAGUCUUUCAUUCAUCUUCUUCCUUCAUAUAAAAUUUGCAGAUACAGCACACAGUAAUAUAUAGUGAGAGAAGUACAAGACAGACCUCUUCAAGAAAUCUAUAGCACAUGAAGAAUACUCAAUAGAGAGAGAAGAUGCAAUUGACAUGAACCAGCAAACUAUCCACAAGUCAUUCAAUCAUCAACUACACUGAAAACUUUCACAUCACCAAAGCAACUGAAACAAGUUUUCGCAUCAUAUUACCUUAACUCUACUAGUAAGAGAAGCAACAAGACCAAGUGUAACAUAGAAGAUACAUGUGUGUCCAUGCACAUCUCAUGGUAGGCACAUCUUGGAAAGAGCCCUCAAGACAUGCACUCGCAACCUCAGCUGGAAUAUGUAGUCGGCGGUGCGCGAGAAGAGCUGCUCCGGCUGCAACCGCCGGCCGCCGGGCACGAGACCUUGGAGCUUCCUCACCUUUCUCUGCACCGACGCGCGGGAAGCGCUCCGCCCUUUCCUUUGAUGUCUCGUGCCGGAGAUCCCGUGGCGCUUCGAUCCAUUCCUACGCCUCUUUGCCUUCUCUAAUAGCCAUGGCCUCUCCAUUAGGAAAAAGACGACGGAGAGCAGCGUGAGGCGGAAGCCGAGAUCAAUGGAAAGAAGGAUGAGACUGUAAACGAGGCGGAGGAGGAGGAUAUAUAGAUAAGCGAGGAGGAGUGAUGUUUGCUGCGUAAAAGCCAUGCGAGCCACCUCGGGGGGUGUGGGGCCCGGUGGACAAUGCUAAAGCAUGGCGGCAUUUUGUCGUCUAGCUGGAGGCGGGCCACGUCAUGUCUUGCCCACGUGUCUGACAGCUCUGACACGUGGGACAGAGGGUGUAACAUUCGAUUCCCCUCAUCAAUAGGGUUUACGUGAGGAUGUUUCCUGCAGUACUGCAUGCGUGGGUGUCAUCGUAAUCCACGAAGAAUCUGUAACUUGUUCCUCUAAGAAGAAGUAAGGGAUAGAGAGUUCAUCUUUGUUUCUGUAAUAAUCCAUGUUUUUGAUCUUUGUAACCAUACAAACUCGUAGUAUUCAACUUAAAGAUUCUUUGCAUGCAACUGCGAGAAGCUACACGAAAUAAGUUGGCUGCUGACUUUGAGCACAUGAAAUUGACUUGUGCCCAAUAGCAAAGUCUACCACCUAGCACAAAAAGAAUCUCAAAAGUCCAACUAUGAUCAUGUCUGUCCUCGUUGAUUCAACCCGUGGCAUGUUUCUCAUGGCAAAACAUCUUAGGUGGCCACCAAACACAGCUCUCUUGCCUGAGCACAAACACCAUGUUCGGCACCCCCUUGUGUUGCAGAAGAUGGUGCAAAGCUACAAGUCUCAUAAUGAGACCUAAACCAAUCAACAUGUGUCAACUCUAAAUGAUCAGCAGUGUGAGGAGGGGGACCAUUAGGGGAGGAACAUGGGAAGCUUAACUCGAGAAGAAGAGGAUUAGGAAGUAAACAAAAGAGGCUUGUUGUGUCGUGAGGGAGGUGUUGUUGGCUUUUAGUCUUAGCGGUGGGGGGGAUUAGAUUAGAACUGGGACUGCUUGCACAUGGAAGCACAUGACGAGUCUCUCCUCCUUCCAUGUCCAUUUCUCAGUUCCCGGUUGACAAGGGUGGCUUGUGGUGGGUGCCACGCUACACGAAAAGCUCAGAGUUAUUCCCCCUUCUUCUCUCCCUUGAUGGACCAAAGGUUUAGGUGUUGAGCUACAUUUACCAUCGUUUCAUGUCUCGUAUGGGGUACGAUUGCUUGAAAGAUCAAGAGAGGGGAGACAGAACGGUUUGAUCUUUCCAUGUGUGAUAACUGUGCAACACAGGGGCAACUUCGUGCUCUCACAUGCUCUCUCUCUCUCUUUCAUGAUGGCUGCUUUCUCUGAGCAGUAUGAAAACCAGAUCAGCACCUAAUCAUAGCACACAUGCAUGGUGGAAGAACAUUUUGCUCUCAUCACAAGCAUGAUGAAGGCUUUGCUUCUCCCCAAGCAAACUUUGGAGAGAAGUAUGGGUUCGUCUUCAGCUACUAAUUAGCUUUCCUAUUCAAUUGAGUUAGAGCUAGUAGUACCUGGUUUCUGUUGUUGCUUGGAAGUUGUCAUAACCAUGAGAGAGAGAGAGAGAGAGAAGAACCCUAGCUGUGGCACCAUUGCACUUUGUUUAGUCCAAGUCUAGAAGUUGCUUGGACAGCAAUCUAUUAGCAGUGGAGAUGGUGUACAGUUUACAGUCCAUUAGGUUUAGGCUGUUCAUGGGGCAGAAGGGUUCUAAGGUGCAUGUGCUCCUGGGCUAAACCUGGUGGGUGCAGAUAAUGAUGCAGCACUCAGGGAAACUUAAGCAUGUGGGAAGUAUCCAUGAGAGAGAGAGAGAGAGAGAGAAAUCAUAUGACUGUGGGUCUGAAACCCAGAGAUGAUAAGAGACACCACUCACAAGAUGGGGACACUAGUUGAGUUGGAUGGCAUGUGGAAGGUCUCAAUUGGUGGACUUAAAUCAUCCACUUAUUCUAAGAAGAAGAAGAUGAUGAAGAAGAAGAAGAAAGCAUGGGUUGGGCUGACCAAAGCUUUCUUGACCCAAACUACCAUUAUCCUUAUGUCCAAACUCACAACUCAUGAUCUUCUAAUUCUAUUUCUGAUUCUUAUAAACUAAUUGUGACCAAUUGGAGCAAAUUCCGAAUUAGUUCGAAAUUUUCUUUAGAAAUUCUUUGAUCUUUGAUUAUUCCUAUCAGAAAUAAGUUGUUCCUUUCCAAAACCUGAUCAUGUUACAAUUUUUAUUUCUUGCUUGCACUAUAUUUCAUUUUUCCAUUAUAACAUCAUAUAUAUAUAUAAGAUUAUGCAAGGAUCAUAAUCUAAGAAUGAUUUCCAUAAUAAGACCACCACAGAAUUAAGAGAGAGCAUUUCUUUAGCAAACUAUUCCUUGCACAAAAAGAGAUCCCCUCACUGCCUGAAUACUCUUGCAGUGCUUGUCUUUUCAGGUUCAUUCUGCAGCAAAGAUGUCUCGGCUUCUAUCAGCAAUUUAGCAUGCAGUCUUAUAAUGGACAAAUUCUUCCACAUCUAUUUUCUGGUUGUUAAUAACCUGUGUGUCAGAUUUUUCUUUUUCUGGGGAGAUCCAUCAGACAAGGAAUUCAUAGUCUGACAACUUUAAGGUACUUGUGCAGUACAAUCUUAAUGAAUUUAUACAGAUAUUUCACUCUCAUAACCAAAAGAAAAGGUAGAUGUUCUGCAUCCUCUUCCUGUUCAUGUUCAGCUGCAUGAUGGUGCACACAUUACAGUCUAAUUAGAAACCACUCCAUCAGGUUACUUUCCAUUCAGUGUGGCCUGAUCACCUUCUUCCAUGCUUGGACUAAACUUGGGUCACAUGAUUCAAAGCUUGCUUCCAAGGAAUGCUGCAGUAGGGUGCAGAAGCUGCAAACAGAGCUCAAAGCAAUCCAAUGGAGAAGCAACCUCUGUACUUUAAGCCACAGAUCCUGUUUUCUUGAGGAAGUUUACUGGAUGCCCAUAAUGAGCCCAAAUCCAACUCCCAUCUGCUGAAGCAAACAAAUGGAAUGUGACAGAAUUUGAUCUCCAAUUGGAGUUACAGCAAUGAUCUAGAGAGUUGGGUUAUGGAGACUGGAGAAAGUUUCAGCAAAAUUCCACCUUGGGCUUUGGAGUGCAGAUUACUUGUAAUAGCACAAAAGGGUGCAGGGAAGUUAACAAUGGAACCAGAGAGCAAAACACCAAACCCACCAAAUCAAAGUAUGUCCACACUUGCAAGUGGAGGACACACCCCACACAGGAGGCAAGCCACCAGUACAACAAGCUGCUCUCUUUCCUUUCCCUUCCCCAUGUAUUUUCUUGGUGUCCAAGUGGGCCAAAUGGGAGUAACAUUUGUUACUUCUCUUUGCUACUGGUACAGUUGAAGAAGACAUGGGGAUGGGAUUGGGUGGAUCUGUAGUUUUGUGUGGUGUCCUCCUUCCUUGUUUGAUCUUGUUCUUGAUCCCUCUUCUUGUCUGGUAAUUUCCUGGUUUAAGGGAAAAAGACGGCCUUGAUGGUUUCCCUUCCUGCUGCUUCUUCCUCCUCCUCCUCCUUAUCCUUCUCUGGGUGCAUGUGAUCUGGACUUGGUUUGGAACCAGGAAAGCUUCCUUCUUUUGGCCAAGCUACCUCCUUUUCGUGACCUAGAGUCCCGGAUUUGCUGUGAAGCUCCAAGUUUGCUCGCCGCUCCGUCAGAUGACUCGCGGGUCUGCUCCAAGUCCAUGAGGAAGGAGAUGGUUGUCACACCUUACCAGUCCUCCGGGCCUCACUGGCUUCUUACCCAGGUCAAGAACAGGGGUGGAGCUUCUUCAUCUCACCAUUCCUCUCAUCUUGGUGCCUUGAGCCGGGACUCCAUCCCGUUCCAGCCAUCUCCAACAACAACAGCUGCAGCAGCAGCAGCAUCCUCCCCAACCAGCAGGAUAAGCCCCGCAGUCCUCUUCACCAUUGUCAUCCUUGCGGCCCUCUUCUUCAUCUCUGGCCUCCUCCACCUCUUGGUCAGGUUUCUCCUCAGGAAGCGGCCGCCGUCCUCCUCCAUCUCCUCCUCCCCCCACUCCAACGCCCACGCCCGCCGCCGCCGCAACGCCGACCUCCCGGGCCCCGGCACGCUCCAGCGCCAGCUCCAGCAGCUGUUCCACCUCCACGACUCGGGCCUCGACCAGGCCUUCAUCGACGCGCUGCCGCUCUUCCUCUACAAGGAGAUCCUUGGCUCCAAAGAGCCGUUCGACUGCGCCGUCUGCCUAUGUGAAUUCGCCCCCGACGACAAGCUCCGGCUGCUGCCCGUCUGCGGCCAUGCUUUUCACCUCGGCUGCAUCGACACAUGGCUGCUCUCCAACUCCACCUGCCCGCUCUGCCGGGGAGCCAUAUUCGUGCAGGGGCUGGCCAUCGAGAAUCCCAUGUAUGGGUUCGACGAUUACAGGGAGGAGGAUGAGGAGGGAUUCUCCGGGGACCAGGAAGCGGAAGCCGAUGAGCGAAUGUUCUCUGUCAAGCUUGGGAAGUUCAAGAAGCUGAGCACUGGAGCCAGUGACGGUGCUGUCGACGAUGGCAGCAGCAUGGGCGAGAGUAAAGUAAGCAGAGAGAUAGGGGAGACUAGCAGUAGCAACUUGGAUGCCAGGAGGUGCUUCUCCAUGGGCUCUUAUCAGUAUGUGGUGUCUGAUGCCAGUCUCCAGGUGGCUUUUACAGGUUCCACCAUGAACGGCGAUGGCAGGGGAAGAAGGGUCAAUGCUAUGAGCAGAGAUGAGAGCUUUUCUGUGUCCAAGAUCUGGCAGUGGUCUGAUAAGAAGGGGAAGUUCCCAGUGUGUUCAGAUUCUGCUCCUUUGGAUGGGCACUUGCCAUGGAUCAGGCCAAGCUUGGAGGAUGCAUGAACCAUGGCUGUAAUGUGAUAAAUCCUGUCCUCCUUUAAUGAUGGCUUCUCAGAACUCCAUCUUUCUUUUGCUUCUCUUCCAUUUCAUCUACUUCAACUCUUUUAUAUUCUUUUAACAUGCAGUGAAGAGGUAUAUGAUGCUAACCUUAUGUUGUAGUGAUGCAGAUAUCUUGUGUUAUUCAAGCUUAAAUUCUUCUACUGUUCCAUUUCUUGAAGGCUUAAGAAACACAUCUAAUUGUCAAGCCUGCAGAGAACAUCUGAAGCUACUGUAGCUUCAUAACUGUGCUCAGCUUCCAUAGACGUUAGAUAGUCACAAACCUUGGUUUAGGAUGCUUCUCUGGUCAAGUAGCAUCUCCUGCAAUCAAUGUCUUCUAGUAGAUGGGCAAUUAUGCUCCUGUUUUCUCUCCUUUCCCAUAGGAUGAUGGAGAAUCCAAAGGACUUGGCCAUGGAUUCAGUUGAUGGAUGUUCCUUAUCUAAAGAGAUUGUGUUAGUUCUGCCAUUGCUGUAGGUUUCUUGGAUUUUUGUCUUCAGUAGUUGUCCUGUCAAUUAACCCAGAGGGUCUGUCGAAGACACUAAAUCCAACAACUCAUUCCAAUGAUCUUUGGGGAUGUAUAUAGGAUGAUCAUUGAGUCAAUACACUAUUUAUAUAGAUAUAGAUAUAUGUUUUGAUCUUUCUAAAGUGAAAAAAAAAAUCUAACUGGAAGCUUGAAGACCGAUGUUUCGUGCUAUUAUUUCUACCGAAAAAUAAGAUUUCGCUAUUGAUCGUGCGUGACAUCUGAAGAAUAACAUGUGUUUAUGCUUUUGAAGAUAAAGUUUCAUACUCCAUUAUGGACAUACUGCUUGAUCAAAUCUGAAUUACUUCAAGUAGGCCUUCAGGGCUUCAGACUGUUUCUUCUACAGUAAAUGUUGCUUUGCAUUUAACCAAAGCCUUCAACAUCAUCUCGAUUAUACACUCUCAUUAUAUAUGAAUAAGUUUGUGUUUGUGCUUUGAUGUAACUUUUAAGACUUCUUGUAGUGGUAAUGAUCUUUUAGAAGUCAGAUGGAGUACAGUUGAAGGGAUUCUCAUGCUGAAAGAUUUGGAAUGUCAACAUCUCUGAAGGGUAUUUUGUUCUGAACCCAUAUAUUUCACCUUUUAUCUUGUCACUCUUGAAUCUUACAACUGACAAUCUAUUUACUGUGACUGUUUCAGCAAAGAAUUUAAUGGGGCAGCAACAAACAAACAAAAUCAAUUUAAUUGGAUAUUCAAGCUAAUGCAUGCAAACAAUCAAUGAAUGACUGCCCAUUUGGUUUUGUUAUGAGGUUGAUAUGGUUGUGUUGAAAUCUAGUCUUUUACUGAGUGAUUGGAUGAGACAGAGGAGGGUGAGAAAAUGUCUACAUCCAUCUGUGAGUUUCAGAGUGCAGAUUACAACUUUGAACUCAGCAGUAAAACAACUGAAGAGUCAUAACAACUGUGUUGGGAGUAAUGUAAGAUGAUGGAAAGAGUUCUUCCAACCCCCUGAAGCUGAUUUCAGAUUGGCAGUGCCAUUUUUUGUCUCUUGUUUGCAUGUGUAUGGAAAAUCUGUGAAUCAACAACUACAAAUGCUACUCUUAUCAGGCUUUUUAUGUUUUCCAGGACCAAGCUCUUAUGAAUUCUGACACUGCAAACUGUAAGCCAAGAAAAAGGAUUAUAAUUGAGGCCUCUGCACCACCAGCAAGCAAUGUAAGCCAAUCAAAGGACAGUGCGUCUGAUGUUGUCUGCAUUCACCUCCAAAGAACUGACAAGAACAAAAGGAGGACCAUCCAACAUGGCUCUCUGCUGCCUAUGGCCACUUUGUGAGACUCAGUUCCAGUUAAGGAAGAAUCUAAUGUAUUCAGUGUCAUCAUCACCUUUCCCUUCCACUGGCUAUAAAUUCUUUAGGAUUUUGUUAUUGACUCAAAAAAAAAAUCUGUCUAUUUACCUUUUUAUUUUUAUUUUUUUUUAUGUGAACAUUACAAGUUGUCUCUUUUAAGUGCUCAUCUUUUUGAUCUGUUGUGUAAAAUCUUGAUUUUCUUUAGAUAUUUAAUUUUAUUUAUACGAUCUCGGAAUUUAUGCUUCGGUAAUAAUGGUUUAGACAAAAUCAAUUAAGUUCGAAAAAAACUCGACUUAUAUUAAAGUGUUUAUAAAGAAUUUUUUUAAUUUUAUGUGAAAGAAAGCACCACAAUAUAUUGUGAUCAACAACAAUAUACCAAAAAAAAAGGGGAUCACUUACGGUUCAUUGCACCCUGCGCGAAUCUAAAAGCCAUAGCUGUCGCGUUCUGAUCCGUUCCUUUUAUUAGAGGUUCGGACUCUACUUCGGGCGGCCCAUAUGAGAACUGGGCCGAACGGGAAAACCCUAUUCUCAACGGGCCGGGUAGUGGAUCGAGGAACGAUCCCUGGCCGGCUGCGGAUCCGCUCUCGUCAAGCGGGCGACGGGGUGGGGAUUCUGCUCAGGUGAUCGGCGCUCGUUCUUCUUCUUUGGAAUCGAUCGCAUCCUUUUUCGAUCGUGUUGAUUGAUUGUUCUUGUUCUUGAUCGUGUUUUUCUCUUGCCGGUUCCUUUGAAGAUCGGGAUCUGGUUUUCUAUCUUGCUAUUGUUCGAUCGCCUUUCCUCGGUUGAUCACCGUUUCUUGUCCCGUUAUUGUCGCCUUCGAUGAAAUCUUUGAUCUGACCGCGUAAAUCAAAAUAUUCGUGGGCGGAAUCGGACCGGGCACAUGUUCCGUUGUCUUCACUCGAUUGUACUUCUUGUAGGCUGGAUCUUGUUCUUGUGCUCGAUCGUGUUUGUUCUUGCCGGUUCCUUUGAAGCGCUGGAUCCAGAUCUCCAUCUUGCUAUUGCUUGAUCGCCUUGCUUCAUUGGGUCUGUGAAUUAGCAGGGUUUUUGGGUUGAUCGGCCUUUCUUGUUCCGUUAUUGUCGUCGUCGAUGAAAUCCUUGAUCUGACCGCAUCCCAAUUCGAAAUAUUCGGGACCGAACCGUACCGGGUACAUCUUCCGUUCUUUUCACAUGUUUGUUCUUCUUGUUGGCUGAAUAUUGUUCUUGUGCUCGAUCGUGUUUGUUCUUGCCGGUUCCUUUGGAGAUCUGGAUCCACUUCUCCAUCUUGUUAUUUCUUGAUCGCCUUGCCUCGGUGAGUAGGGGUUUUCCUGGGUUGAUCGGCUUUUCUUGUUCCGUUAUUGUUGCCUUGGAUGAAAUCUUUGGUCUGAGGGCGUCCCGAUUCAAAAUAUUCCGGACCGAAGCGGUUCGGUUCAUUAAGUUUCGUCCGCGGCCAAAGAGGUGGGGCAUUCUAGGUUUUAGGUUCGACGUUGUCUGUCGUCCUGAGCCCCUGUUCUUGAUAUCUCAUCGCGGUCGAGUGGCGCGGACGCGGAGUCAUGAAGGAGGGGGAGGAGCAGCAGGGGGGCCCCCAGUCGCCGCCCAGCAGUGUUGGUGUCGAUGGCGCCGUUGUCGACUCAGCGAUGCCAUCAUCCGAUCUCAAAGUAUGUCCUUUCUAUCUGCUCCUAUCUCAUUAUUUAUGCAUUACCAUGUUCAUGGACAUCAAAAUCAUGGUGAGGAAUUUUCCGCCCCUGGAGUUAAGAGAAGACUUCGAUUCCGAAUCACUUAUGGAUUUGAUUUGUUCUGUUUCUUGAAUUAUUGAUCGUUUUGGUUACCGAAAGAGAGUGCUUUUCAUUCUAUUAGGCAGGUUGGUUCAAGUUACUAUUGCUUACAAGAGGAACUUACCUGUUCCUUGGUGAUUCUGACCGGAUACAUGAUGGCUAUGCUAUAUUUGUAGAUUUACACUUAUGCGGAUUUGUAGUUAAGUGGAGAUUUUUAUGGUACAAUAGUUACUUUUUAGAUUGGGAAAUGAUUUUUGAUAGUGUUCUAUUUGUCCAAAUAAAAGGAAAAAAAAAGGAAAAAGGAGUUUAUGUUUGGCCGGGAUACUGAUCUUUUGCUGUACUGAGAAGAUAAACUGUGGACCAUUGCUCUAGGCUCCUCCAGCCUGUGUGAAGGAUGGAUGUAAAUUUUGAUUACGAAUAUCCUUUUUUAGCAACCUUGCUAUCCUUAAAGUAGGUCUGAAUCUCUGCUUGUCUUUUUGGGAAUUUGUUUUUAUACAAGACUCUUUUAGAUAAAGGCUAAGAGGUGCUGCACAAUAUACUCAAUCAUAGCUGCAGCUAUUUCUAACCUUUAGUCAAAAGGUGAAACAAAUUCAAAUCUUAGCUGAUUCAAACUAUCAAAAUAAAUUAACAAUGACACUGAAUUAGGUAAGUUAUAUACUGAAGUCAUUGUUUGAUUAGAACACAAGGACCCACUUCAACUAAAAUUUUAUUUCAAUUAAGCCUAGAUCUAGAAAAUAUGAUGUGGUUAAAUUGAAUUGCAAUUGUGAAGAAUGUUGAGCAAAUCCACUCUUCCAUAUUUGUGCUUGAUAAGGUGUUUCUUAUUGACAUCUGAUUUUUGGGAGAUCUGAAUGAAAAAGUUUUCAUAUUCCAUGGGCUGUGAUAAAGGCAUUAUUUUGCUUUUGUGAGUUGAUUGUGUGCUAUUGUGUAAUGGAUAUGGCUGCAUGAAACAAAUAUAUGGCUGCUGCAUGCCUGCAUAUUAAGAUAGUCAGGAAAGCAGGUUUAAUGGUCAAACUUUAUUAUUUGUCACUUACAAAAUGUCAGCAAAAAGAAGAAUUUAUUUUAAGGAUCUUGUUGUGGAUACCUCGACAAUAGAGCAGUCUUAGAUGGCUAAAGCUCAACCCAUAACUUGUUACAUCAGUUUCAACUUCCUUUGGAGCUCAUGCACAUCCAACCCUACUAUUAAUACUCAUUGCAGCUAUAACACCCAUAGGGGAUGCUAGAUAAGCAAUGAUCAGUAGCUGCAACAUUAGAAAAUAAAUGUCAAAAAUGAGAUUUUUUAUUCAAGCCAUUAUUAGCAAACUCCAUCAUAAAAGGUGGAACAGCGAGCAAUAUGGAUUAUAUCAGAUAGAGUACAAGAAUAAACAAGAAGAAAAAGAGGAUUCGAGUUUGAAGAGGGCAUCCACAGUCUCAAACUUGCCUUUUUUGUGUUCUCUGCCAAUAUGGAUAUAAGAUAUGUGAGGCUUCUAAAGGAAAGUGAAUUGAGACGUCAAACUUGUAGGUAGAAAAUCCAGGCUGCUUUUGUUUCUCCCAUGUACCAUCUUCUGUUUAUUAUAUUAUUACUGCUGAAUACGGGGAAGAGUUUCCAGAUUAGCAAAAUAUUUUUAGAUGUACUACACUGCUGAAUACGGGGAAGAGUUUUGCAAUAGAGUGGUCAUAACUGUGGAAUUGAUAUUUGAAAGAAUUCUUUUGAGAUGCAUAUUUUCCAAUGGUUUAAUACAUUGUUUCAUAUUCAGGAAAGUCGAAAACUGCCUGGAACAGUUAAUUGGGGUACAGCAACUAUUGUUGGAGUAUUUGCAGGACUGCUAUAUGGUGGAAGCAAAGAGGCUUCUGCAUCUGUGGUAAGCGUUUUUUUUGGGGAAAAAGUUUGGUUUAGAUUGUUUGUCUUAUUUCUCAUUAGAGAACCACUUACUAUACCUUCACUGUAUUGUAUGCUUCACUGGGGACCCCUUUUUUAAACAGCCUAUAUGCUUUAUCGGUCAAGCUGACAACUCGUUUUGACUACUGAUUUCUGGGACUUAGUUGGAAAACUCAUUAAUUGUUAAAAAUAUAUCUUGAUAAGAAAUUUGUAUCUGUUAGGGGCUAAUAUCUUAGAUUUUGCUCUACAAGUCCUUUAUGAACUCAGAUAGGUUGAUGGUUUCGUCUGCAUGGUAGCAUUGUGAACUCGAGACUGAGAAGGGCUGUGGUCCCAACUUGAUCAGAACUUAGGAUUUCUAUUGCCUUGUAUCUUAUUCUUGACUAGGAUUAUCUAUCAUAUGGAAUGACGGCACGCAUCGUUAUAUUACUAAUUUCAUUGAAAAACAAGCUCAUUCAUUUUGUUUCUCUUCUUUUUGUCAUGCAUUAUCACAUUUAUGGGAAUCUUUGCCUUUAUCAUUGUAGCAAGUUUCAUGCACGUCUAUUUUUGCAAUUAUUUAAAUGCUGGGGUCUGGCCUAUUACAUUUUGCCAAACAAGAUCAACCAAAAGCAAGCAAAGCAACGGCAUUGUGAAAUUGCUUUGGAAGUCAGGGGUAUAGCAGUAUAGGUGUGUUGAUGUAAGAAGCUGGUUUUUUAUAACUUAACUGCCCCUUUUCUAUUGAUUGGUAAGCAUAUUCUAUCUUGUCAGAGCAAGGAUGCAGAAGUUAUGUUGAAGCUUGGGAGUACUCCAGACAAGCGUGAACAGUACAGAAUAAUGAGAGAUGCAAUGGAGAAAAGAUUCAUCCGUGUAGCUCGUGGUUCAAUUGUUGGUGGUGUUCGCCUUGGCAUGUUCACUGCAGCAUUUUAUGGCUUGCAAAAUCUUCUGGCUGAAAAGCGUGGUGUGCAUGAUGUGUAUAAUGUGGCUGGUGCUGGUUCUGCAACUGCUGCAAUGUUUGGUCUUAUAAGUGAGACAAUUUGACUAUUUUCUUCUGUGUUUUACCUACAUCUGUCUGAUCAAAGAAUGGUUUUCCUUGACAAUGAAGUAGCUUAUUUUUCCUACAAGAGAUUAUUUUACAUAGGAUGCUCUGAGUUAUUUUCUGCCCACUAGUAAUACUAAAAAAAUUUGAUCAUGUAAACUAGAAGAAUUGAUUUUGCCUCUAUAUUUAAUCAAUUAAUAUUCUUUUUGUUUCCAUUACCUUAUUUGACAAGUGUAUCUCUAUUUAGUUUGAAUGUUGCCUGACUUGAAAUCUAUACUUCUUAAGGCUGUGGUAUCAUGAUAUUGCACAUGUGCAAGCAAUAUAUGCAUUAUUUAUUUAUUACUAAUGUUUUAAACUAUUAAUUGCUCGAUAACACAGACUAUGGCAUCCAAUGAUGAUAUGCAUAUUGUAUUCUGGAUUUCUGGAUGACUGACUAAUUUAUCAACCAACUGUUUCAGAUUUUUCUCAGACACCAAAUUAUUGAUGACUUCAGCAUAUGUAGUCACCAACUUUAUUAGUAGAUUCAUUCAUGUUUUGAUAUUUAACUCUUAUGCUUGUCAUCCUUUUACACACACAAAACAUUAUGCCGAUUAUUCUUAUCAAUUAAGUAUCUUAAUCAUUCUGUAUAUGAAUUGUAGAGAAGAUUAGGAAUGGUUAGUGGGUGUGUUAUCAGCUAGCAUUCAAAUUUUUAACUCGUAUUGUUCUGUAAUAUCAGUGCCAGGUUCCUUGAAGUGGCGUGCUAGGAAUGUGUUGCUUGGUUCAGUCCUGGGAGCUGGAAUUUGUUUCCCUUUAGGUAAUAUAAAUCUGUCGACUCCUUUUAGAUUGUGAUACGGCUUGUGAUUAUAACCUAGCUUGCAUUCUGUUACUUCUAUCGAUAACAAUGAAAGACUUAAUACUUUAUGUUGUUUAACGUGAGACACAAUGUUGAUUCAUUGCUUUACUUUGCAAGGUUGGGUACAUCUGAAGUUGGUGGAGAAGGCAAAUGAAGAGAGAUUAAAUUCUAAACCUUCUGAUCUGGAUGAGGAGGAAGAGACUAAUAGAAGCCGUGUUGGUGCUGCCAUAGAGAGGCUUGAGGGGAACCUACGCCGGUAGCAGUUAUCUAUUACCUUGUGGAAGGAAAAAAUAAAGCAGACCAGGAGGAAAUAAGCAGGCAGAUAAGGCUCAGCUGAGCAACAGAAGAAUUUACUGGUUUUCCUGACCUUGCGCCGUGCGAGACAGUAUGGUUGAUCCAGAAUUUUCACUGAUUUCUUCCGGAGUAAUGAUUCUUUGCUCAAUCCAAAUCUUUUUGUGGUAAAACCACAAACUACUUGGUUUCCAUACACGGAAGGCCAAGGCCUGUCAGCCAUCAUGGAUAGAUGUUGUCUCGGUUAACAAAUGGUAAUGUAAUCGCUUUCCCACAAGAUCAGGAUGUUCUUGACAUUAAUAUUGUUUUUGUUGUGAUGAUGCUAAAUAGAGUAUAAGAAUAUUGGUUUCUGGUUUUAACUGUCGUCGUUUGUUGAUGUUCCAGUCCAGGAAGGUUGACUUUGAUUUGCUGUAACCUACGGCAAAUCUGCAUGAGUUUUAAUGCCCUUUUUAGGGAACAGUAAAGCCUGGAUAUAUUUCUGGUUUGGCAUUGGGGUUAGAAGCGGGCGGCACCGAGUUGGCAUACACGGCAACCCAUUCGGUAUACAUGAGGUUGACCAGAAGUAACGAAGUAGUUAUACACAUUGUAUUAAAGAAUUUUAAGCAACCAAUACAUGUCACAAAGCCAAUACCUUCCUAGUUUCAUAAAUAUUGUAUCAGAACAAAAAGCAACAAGUCGACGCUGUAUCGUACGGUUUCUACCACACCAACAAUAACAGGACCAGACAAGGCCAGCGAAAAGGAAUAGGAACAUAAAGACUGGACGACACCACCAAGCCGAUCUACCAACAGGUAACAAAAAGGAAGCCCAAUCCGAUUACGCUAACGUGCGUUGACCACCCUUUCCAGGUCAAAGAACACCUCAGCGCCCGCUGGCGGCUGGCGGCGGCGGCGCCGGGGCAGCGAAGCGGGCAGAGAAGUCGCGGUGGUCGUCGUAUCCCCCCUCGGGGCUGUCGCCGCCCUGGCCCUCGUCGAAGUUGAGGGCGUAGCUCAACGGGUCGUACUGGAACCUCGCCAGCCCCCCCGCCGCCCUCCCCCUGUUAGGGUUCCGCCCGAACCGCCGGAGGAAGGUCUUCCACCUCGGCCCGGCCACCAGCUCCGACCACUCCCUCCCCUUCAUCAUCAGCGCCCUCAACCCCGCGCCGCUCCACCACCGGCGACGCUCGUCCCCUCCCUCGGCGGGCGCCGGCGCCUGGAUCCGCUCCCAGGGGCUCGAGAAGGGGAAGCAGCAGCAGUAUUGCCGGCGAUCGGACCCGGCCGACGGAUCAUCGAACGGGUCGAUGUUGGCGUCCACCUCCAUGUGGCGAAUCGAAUGGAUUGGCUGAUUGAGAUACAGAAAAUUGAGACUGAAUGAAUUCGUCUCCCCUGUCAAAGAGGACAGAGAGGACGACGGCAAUAAAUAUCGUCUAUUAUAACGGUUUCGGAGGCAAUGUAACGUUACAACUAAAAGAUCUUGUCACGGGUGUCAGACAUGUAGCGGCUGUCACGAGGCGUGUUGUUGGACGCCACACCUACCGAACCUACGGGGCACAAUCAUGUUCGAUGUCACGCCUAACGCCGCCGCUUAACUCACGACUCAAGGACGUGGUGCGUGCGCCACAUCAUCCCCCUAUCGUAACUCGAGCAGUGACCCGAAGCGGCGGGCUUCACUCAUAUUGGUCGUCGUUUCUCGAAGUCUCUGGACGAAUUAAAGAGAACGAAUCCUUUUCCAAGUCUGCUUCCUUCAUGCAAACCACACGACGGAAAACACGACCUGUGGAAUCCAUAUCAGUAUCGAGAGAUGCAGGUGAAUACUGUUAACUCCUAAAUCUGAAAUUAUCACUGAGCUAAUGAACUCUUUCAAGAUCAUUCGAAUUAUGAUCACAACAUCCAUCAUAUCAUACAAUGACUUGAACAAGAGAGAAGAUUUCUCAUUUGAGCUGUGAUGAGUAUAUAUAUACAUAUAUGUACAUAACAAAACAUAUCUCCUCAUUUGUACAAUGGUACUUCAGGGGAACUACAACUUCAUCUGUAAAAUCUACCAUCCUGCUAAAACUACUACUCUUUCUUGAUUUAUCAUCACUAUACCAUGAGAAGCAACAUGAUCAUCUACAGUUCACAUGACAAAAAAAAAAUAAAAUUGGAAACACAUGAGGAAGCUCAGACAUGGUAGACCAUUGCGACCUCCAAAGUCGAAGCAUGAGGGAUGCUGAAAGCAUACAUGUGGCCCCUGCAGUUUCUCCGCAAGAACUCAUACCCAAGAUCGAUCGCCAGCCGCUUGAUGAGGCUCGACCCGCUCUUUGCUCUCAUGUACUCGUGCCCGAGUAUGAAGGCCAUUCCUGCCUCCCUUGCUUCCAGCAGCUCUUGCAACUCUUCCUUCGCCUCUUCCUUUAUUUUCGGGCUCCUGGGCAAGAGAAACCUCACUUGUUUCUUUGGUACUAUCACAGGCGAGAGUAUCUCCCUAGAGGCUGAUGGGCCUGGCGCAUCUUCAGCUUCAACUUUCUCCUCGCGGAUCCUCAAACCUGUCCCGACGACUGUCAUUUGCCCAUCAUCCUUAUCGGUUUCUUCAGCCAGACCGCUGGGCUUUGAUCCUUCGGACCGGAUGAACUCAGCAAUGCUGCAAACAAGAUCCCUCUCGAACUCCAAGUCAUCUUUUUGUAUGUCUUGGUACCCGUAUCGGACGAUGACCCUGUAAAGCCUGUAUUCCUUUGGGCCAACCCGACCGACUAGGAAUCGUUCUUGGGGGUCGACGUACGGCAUUGGCACUGAUUUAAUGCAAAGGAAGACAACGACCUGAGCCAGAAGAAAUUUAAGAAUGGCUUGAUAUAUUACGUAAUAUCAAAAUGUAUUGAUAAAGUGAAAAUGCAGACAUAUAUUUGAUCUACUACCACCAUAGUCACAAGUAUUUAGACCACCUAAAAUUGAUAUGUAAAAUGUAAAAAAGAUUACUCGGUAAUACCUGGUGAAAUGCAGGCAAGUUGGUGACGAAGUGGGAGAAGAUGGCUGGGAUUCCUGAUACGAGCUCAGUGUGUAUGAGGCCAAUGCCUCGCACACGUACAAAGCCUAGAGUAGGGCCGAGGCUUAGAAGCCAAUUGAUGGAAACCUUGUUCUCAACAUCAAACUCGUACUUCUUUAUGGUCCCAUAAUGCCAGAUGUACAUGAUGAUCAUAAAAACGAUGCACAGUGCGAGAGGAAACCAAGCUCCUUCAAGGAACUUGAUUAAAGAUGCCGAGAAGUAGAGCGCCUCAAUUGAACCAAAGAAAAGAAUGAAGCAUGCAGCCAGAAAGAUGCUUUGAUGCCAACAGAGGACAAUUACGAGGAACAUCAAGCAGGUGGUGACCAGCAUGACAGACAUGACUGCUAACCCUGUUGCAAAAGAUGAUAAAUCAAAAAAUUAGCAAAUUGAAAAGGUUGCUUUGCAUAUGAAUCAUCUCGAUAGACAUCAUGUACAUAAAGUAAAAUAAAGUAUUAAUCAUAUGCUACAAGCUUCUGAUGGCUACUAUCAUUACCACAUCAAUAUCCGGCUACAUUACACUAUUGUCAGGUAAUUUAGUUACCACUGUUAGUUGAUGACACAUCCUUUUUCUUUCUAUUCCUAUUUUGCAUGCUGAAAGCAAGCAGAAGUGACAGAAAGGCAGCAAAAGCUGUAAACCAAGAUACUGCACUCUUGGAAAGUACAAAGGAAGCGAACAAGCACUACAAGACCAGAGGUGGCAAUGACACAAGGGAUCUAGAAAUUAUGAAUGUAAUAGCGUGAUAACCACAUUUGAUUAUUUAUACAACAUGGAAAUUGGAAUGAUAGAGAAUGACACACAAUAAAAUGGAUUCUAUAGCACCAUAUAGGAUUAAAAUGCAAUAAGAAAACAAACAAAAAACAAAAACAACAAGAACAGCAGCAUGAUGCUCAACUUAAAAUGGCCUAGUAAAUCAGCCGAGCCACCAAUCAACCUUUGCUGAUCCUAGACACCCCGAUUUCUCAAGCUCAUAUGAUCUUUUUUAUCCUAAUUGGUCCCUGCCAAUGCUGAAUAAUACCAGACUAAUCUUGGCUAAUACCAUGAGUUGAUCUCAAGGGAUCUCUGGAGUCCGACCAAUUAUAACCAAUUAACCAGGAUUGUUAAUCCCGGCCAACCUGAAAUCAAAUUAUUUUACUUUAAUCAUUCUUAUCGAAACCUGAAGACACGCCACCAAGUAUGCUUUUCUGUGGUCAAAAAAACACUUAAUAUAAAGAUAAACACUUUCCAACAAAGAAAAUACUCAUUAAACAAGAGACCAGCCGUCGCUUCUAGCAAAUGGACAAACAUAUGUUGAUCCCUACAGACAUCUUCAAACUUCAUUUUAAUUUAAGAAUGUGCAAUAAUCAUUACCAAAAGACGAUAUAUAGAUUUCCAAAUUUUGUUGUGGAAGAUUUUGGAUACAAAAAUUACAUGAUCUAGAUGAACAGGCACAUUAAUUUUAAUAUUAUAAGACCACUUGCCCAUGAUGAAAGUACAAAAUCUAUAUCAAAAGAUGGGUGGAAUAUGAACAACUCCAAAUGGCAUAAGUAGGAAAACAUAAAGAAUAUACCAUUGUGAGAACAGAAAAAAAUUUCAGAGAGAUAAAACCAAAAGGGUUGGAACACCUAACAUGAGAAUGGCAAGUAAUAGUUGUUUGAUACUUUAUAUGAAUGUAAUACCUGAUGCGUUGCCCAGGAGCUUUGUGUCUCUAAAUCCAACAGUGACAGCUAAGCAAAGUGUCAUCAAAAUCCAGUUGAUCUCUGGGAUGUAUAUCUGACCAUGUAUUUUGGAUGAUGUAUGCACUAUCUUCACCCUAGGAAAGCAUCCCAAGGCAGAGCACUGUUUAAUGAUUGAGAAAGUACCCGUAAUAACUGCUUGGCUUCCCACCACAGCAGCAAGAAUAGCAAUUGCCAUGACUGGCCAUCUUAUCCUCUCUAUCAAAGAAAAUUACAAGUGAAUCAUGCAAAAUCAAGCAUUACGAUGAUUACUGAUCCCGAAAGCAAUUUCAACCUAACAUAGAAGGUAACUACCUGGUACAGAUACAUAAAAUCCAAUUCGGUAAUCAGUUUGGAUGAUGUGAUGCUGAGAGAGAUAAGCAGCUUGUCCCAUAUAAGCAAGGAGCAAGGAUGGGUAUACCACAGAAGUAAAGGCAAUCUGUCCAAGUGCCGUUUCAUUAGAGAGCUAGAGUGGGUGACCCAGGCCACAAAUCACUUUGAGCAAGAUUAUUAAAGCAAUUUUUAUUAGAAUAAUCUAAAACGCAGCAUUCUAUCUUGAUACCAUAUAAUGAUAUUAUGUAGGAUGGAAAAUUAGGUGUUACAACCACCACAUAUCAAGAUUGCAUCAUUUUAACAUAUUUCAACAAAAAAAAAAUUAGUUAACAGCAGAAUCUUAUGAUCAACUCAGUUGUGAUCAUUUUGGCUGGCAUAGGGCACAAGGUUCUGACCAAUAUAGCCUUAAGCCAGUGCACUUCAAUCCCAUUUAAUUUUUAACUCUUCUUAGUUAAAUACUAUAUACUUUUCUCAAUCCAAUUUUUUCCAUUAUUCUAGAUCAUAAUGAGUAAAAAAUCACCAUACGCCAUAAACCAGAAACGUCUGAUGGUCUACAAAAUCAAGCAAGCAAUGUUUCACCACUCAAGUAAAAUCAAGAACAUUAUGAGAAGGAAACAAACUUAUAGAAUUAACAAACAUGCAUGUUCACCAACAAUAAUCCAGAUCCAUUCUCUCUUUUUUCCUGUACCUUUAUUGACAACGGUGAGAAAUGUCCCAGAUCAGCAAACAUAGCUUCGGAACCUACAAUAAAGUAGAGAAUGUAGAUUCAAGCAUAACAAGAUUUAUUUCCACAAAUGAGCAACUUCGACAAACCUGUUAUGCAUAGCAGAAUUCCACCCAGUGACAUCCAGCCUCCUCUUUGGGUCUUCUUCAAGAAGUUGUACAUAUAAAAGGGGGAGAAGGCCCGAUAUACACGUGGAUUCCAAUAGAAUAUAUUGUACACACCAAUGACGCUAAUGCAUAAUAGCCAGAGCAUAACAAUUGGCGCAAACAGGAACCCUAGUCGGUGAGUACCAUAAUGUUGCAAAGCAAACAAGCAGACCAAUAUGAGACAUGCGAUAGGAACCUCGACAUCUGGAAAUUGAGAACUGAUAUAUCAGAAAAAGUAUUUAACAUCAACAACUAAGAAAACAAUGACCAAAUAGCCAGUGUAUAAAAACCACCUCGAUUAGUUAACCACUGAAGAUUACAUAGCAACUACUUUCCAGUCGCAUUAGAGAUUAGAGAACAUUUUUCUCUAAUAUGAUAUAUUAGCUAAUUAACUAAUUUACUACUAGAAUACACAGUAAUAGCUACUUCCAAUCUCAUUAGAACUUAAUACUUCACUAGCAUAAAUAUCAUAUAGCUACUAGAUGCAAGUGUUUUAAGUAUUGCUACAUUUCAACGAGCCAUAGACUGCUUUAUUGUACAGUAGAUGGGGAAAGGAUGAGCAUAAUGGAUGAAAGAUUUCAACUUUAAAAGUUAAGGAGAAAUAUAUGGAGUAGCAACUGAGAUGGUACAAGCUUGUCUAAUGAUGAUCUUAGAAGGCUAUAAGCUGCUAUGUUAUAUUUAACAUCGUUAACUUUAGAUAGCACGAUGAGAAUAAUAUACUCUAGGUCAAUAACAAACAUUAUGGAAAAGCUCAAGGUCUCAAACAAAUAGACGUGAUUAGACAAAAUUCCAGUGAAAAAAGAAGUUUAUUGUUGAUUAAUAAUAAAACAGCAAUAUGCAUCAGAUUAUUCUAACGAUAACAUAAUAGGUGAACCAUAAAAAACAAAAAAAUUGGAAAAAAAAACAUAACGAGUCUUUUCUAAUUGAUACAGAAAUUAUAUGACAAGAAAUACUGUUGAAUUUUGCAGCCAUAGAUGAUUAGUCAGAAGGCAAAGAACUUGUGUGCCAAUUUCAUCCACAGCCUAAACACAGUAUGAUAAAUAAGAAGUUACACAGAGAAGAGAAGAGCACUAUCCAAUGGCAGCUACAUCUGUCCAUCUACAUCUAGUUCUUGUAAACAUAGCAUCUGUGUAAAAAAUAUCUGUAUUACAGAAUAAUUUCCUUACAUUUGUGAUGUUCCUUGGACAUAGCAAGCUCAAGUCCUGAGACUGCUGAGAAAACUGUCGAUGUCAAAGACAAUAUCAGAUCAAAGAAGCGAACAAAUUUACCACUAAAAGAAUCCAACAAAAAAAAAAAGAAGACAGGGAACAAGGUACAACCAGAGAUUGCAGGAGUGAGGAUACCAUCAGCAAUAACCAUGCAAGUGCCAAUCAAUGCAAGAAUCAGCAGCAUAAGCUGCAGCGCAUGAUGCUUCUCCAGUAGUCUCUUCACAAUCGAUGCAGCAGCACCACCACCAGAGGCAGUACUAUCUUUUUUCUUAUAGGCUGAGAGCUCCACAUCAGCUAGCUGGCCACUUGGCAAGAAACCAAAGCUCCCGUGGCGGCACAGGAGCGAGUAGAGAGCAAAUGUGCCACCUUCACCAUUGUCGUCAGCUCGGAGCACUACGAAGACAUACUUGAGGAGAGGGAUGAGGGUGAGGGUCCAGAAAACAAAGGAGAGCACGCCGUAGAUCUCGUCAUUGCUCUCCGUGUGCUCGAUAUCAUCGGCGAAGGUGCUCUUGUAGACGUACAGUGGCGAAGUGCUGAGGUCCCCAUAGACUACUCCGAGGCUUUGGUAGGCCAGCAUCAGAACUGACCUCCAAGAUUGUUUCUGCAAUCCAAAAGGGAAACAAAAUCUUCCUCCUUUGAACACAAAAUCCCCUCAAAAUCUGAACUUUCAAUAUGAACUAAUCAAAUUAUACAAUCCAAAGCACUUAUGUUAGCUUAAAAUCAACGAAAAACUUCAAAAUGUUAACUUCGACAAUGGGAGAGAAAAGUCUGUAAACCAAUUAGAACUCCCAACUCGGAAGCAGGAAUCCAUUACAAACAUCAAAAUCCGGAGCUUAACGUAAAAGAAGUAGGCAAACUACCACAGAUAACAGAAGCUCUAUCGCGUCCUACGAGUCGCAAUCCCUAGAAACCAACUCUUAUGUCCAAACUUUGGUACAAGAAAAAAAAUGAGAACUUUCGACAUCACAAUCUUAAAAAUCUAGACUUUAAUCCGGAAGCAAACUCCAACCCACCUUGAUAGUUCGGGAACGCUGUCCCCUUUCGAGAUCCAUUGCCAAGCGAGCACAACCUCACACACCCAUGGUUAUUUUUCCCACGGCAGUCGAAGCUGCAGAAGAGAUGCACAGUAGCAGACAAAAGGGAUUAGGCUUCAAUUCUUUAUGCAGAUGCGAGAAGGUGGCAAAUGGGAGUAAGCUUGAGAAUCCAAGGGCGGAUAUAUCGAAGAAGGAAACACUGAGGGAUUAGGAGGAGAUUAGAAUAUUAUUAUUACAGCCCUGUUAGCUCUACUUCUUUGGGCUCUGCUGUUCUUGCUCCUCUUCAGCCACAAGACUUUUUUGUCCUAUUAAUAAACAGAAAAAAAAGUCUCUCUUUUUAUUUUUUCUCUGGGGGCUUCUCAAAUCUCAACACAAAGUAGGAGAGAGAGAGAGAGAGAGGUGGUAGUUGGGUUAGGGUCGGACCUAANNNNNNNNNNNNNNNNNNNNGUGCUGUUCUUGCUCCUCUUCAGCCACAAGACUUUUUUGUCCUAUUAAUAAACAGAAAAAAAAGUCUCUCUUUUUAUUUUUUCUCUGGGGGCUUCUCAAAUCUCAACACAAAGUAGGAGAGAGAGAGAGAGAGAGGUGGAUGGUUAGGUGGCCAAUUGAGGUGAGGGAAACAGAGGGAUUAAGCUGAAAAAGGCAGUGGUUUUACUUGUGGGGGUGAUGAAAGGGAGAGAUUAUAGGCCAAGGUGUUUGUUUAUGAAGGAAAGGUGAUAGCUUGGUGCUCCUUUUGGUGCAAGUGGGAAUUGACUUAUCAAAGGGACAAAUGCCCCUGACAUCACCCAAACAAAGGAGGGAUGACCACUACCUGCUUGCCUUUUGGUUUGAACAAAUCAAUAUCCAUUCCACACCUUUUGAUUUGUCUAAUCAAUCAUCAACCUCCUAAAGACUACAAGUAAAUUGCAGCCACCUUUUUUUCCUUUCUCUGCAAGAAACUGGGUUUUAUGGAUGACACAUCUCACAUGACUUUUUGUGGUUUGAAUCAUAAAUCUCUGUAAAGGUGGAUUAAGGGAAAUGAAUCUUUCCAUGAGCAAAAAAGACAAGUACAAGUUUCCUUUGUGACCAAGUGAAUUUUAUUUAAGAAUAUCCAUAGAUUGCAUAUUUUGGAAAGCUUGUAGAGGUUAGAUUAUAUCAAUUAAUUUGUCAUUUUAGCAUGUGAAUCAAUUUGUAUAUCUUUAAUAUUAAAAUGUCAUCCAUGGAUGCACUCUUUGUUUGUGGUGUUAAUGUACAGAAGAAGACCAAGAAGAACAGCAAGAUGGAAAUAGUCAAUUUAGGGGGUUUUGCUAUUCAUUUGAAUUAUAAUCUCAGUAAUCAUAUUUUCAACAGAGAAUCAAAUCCAAUUUGAUCCUGCAUUGUGGUGUUCUUCAUGAGCGAAAUUAAACCUUCAAGAGACAUGAUACACCUAAUCUCAUUUCCUUUUUCUAAAGCACAUCCUGUGUCUUUGGUUUAGCACAUGAUUUGAAAACAGUGGAAGAACACAAAUCAAAUUAUGCUUCCAUUGGAUUUCUAUAGUGUGGAGACCUGGAUUUAACAUUAAACAACUUCCAACAGCUACUUUGAACUUGAUAGGGUCAUCAUACUGUCUCUUUAGAUAACACCAAUUGACAGGUGCUUCAAGCCAACAAAAACAAGAGUGAGAUACACUGUCAAGUAACCUAACCUAUACCUAUGAACAAGUUGACAUUUGUAAUUCUUGUUACCUAACAAUAAUUAGCCCCACAGAAUAUUUUUUGACUGCUUUAAUACUCAAAACAGUUCCUACAGAAAAGCCAUGGUCUUUAUGAGUUGAGUGAGAAUGAUGUGAUUACUGAUAGGAUGUCAGUGGAUAGCAUAAAUAUUUGGUUGGCUGUCUACCUACCAAUCCAAGAUGGAACUAUGGCUUGUUCUCAUUAUAUUCUUGUCUAAAUUUAUCUAAUCUUACACCUUGAAAAGAUAAUUAGAGAAAUAAUAUUGUAACAGGACAUCUAUCAAGCUAAAAAAGCUGUGUAUAUAUAUGAAUCUACCAAUCUUUUCUUGUAGCCAAUGGCUAAUAUACAGAAUGUUCUGCAGUGGACAAGCUUAUCUGAGUUGAGCUUUUGUGAAUCUAUCAAUCUUUUGUGAGUCUUUGAAUCAUUCCUUUGUUUCAACUGGUUAAGUAAAAAGUUGCAGGAUAAGCUCAGGCCACUAAACAAAUCCACCACCAGAUCUGAAGAAAGGGUGCAGUAGUAAGCCUGCAUGCGCACUAAACACCAUUAGGUAAGUCUUCAAGAAACUUUUGUUGCUGCUUUUGUCUUUAUUUUAGUAUAUGCUGUGUGUGUGUGUUUAGGUUUUGAUGUAUUGUGUCUAAUACAUGGAUCCAUUAACAUCCAUCCUUUGAAACCUUAUGGAUCAUAUGGUUCUUUACUGCUAAUUCUCAGAAAGCUCUAUAGACAAGUCACAUGAUAUGUAGAGCAGCUUAGUUUAAGGUCAUCAUCUGCAGACAUCGAGUUUUGAGGAUUCGGAUCCAUGCAUGCAUCUGAUCCAUAUCACUGCCAUGAAAACUGGAUGUUAGCUAAUGUCUAGUGAUAAGGGACUAUUUGGUUUAUCAUUCAUACGGUUCGUACCCGUACGAUUUUGUCCUCCCAAAAAUAUCUUUGAAGGUAAGAAAGAUCUAACUAUAAAUCAUUGAUUCUGAUACUCCUCAAUCAAUAUGAGACUAAAUGAUCUUAUCAUCGAGCAUAGUCAAUUGCACGAGCCAAGAAAGUCGAACUAAGAAUCAAAAAUCUUCUUUGGGGCAUCGAUUUUCUCCAACAAAUGUGACCUUUCGAACUGUGACUUCUCAUGUUACAGUGACUUGAAACCAACAGCAUUUCUUCCUCCACAAGCAUCUCUGUUUUUUGUUUCUGGAAGGGCUCUACAAACAUCUCUUUGGGUCUUGAAGAAAUAAUAAGGGAGUAUUCUUCAGUGUUGUAAUGCAUAUAUUUAUAUAGUCAACUCUGUGAUUAGGUCAAACUGAGACUUUGCCCGGUUGGACUUGGACUAGACUCCAUGCCAAGGCCUUCGUCUUCUCAACUUGCAUGUCUGCUAAAGCAGAAGCCAACUAUGGCUCUCCUCUUGCAACCCACCACAUGACAUCCACUGGUUUCAGACUCUUCAGCCAUGGCUUCACUCUGUGAGGUGUGUUGCCCCCAUCUGGUGGGACCUCCCUGCCAUGCUCAAGAUGACCUCAUGCAGAGACUUCGUUCCCCAUACCCAUACCCCAGCAUGGCCACUGCAGGUCCUCCAGCCUUUUGCAUCACAAAAGAGGACAAGAGAGCUUCUUGCACUUCACCCAUUUAGGCUUCUGUAACAUCAAGCUCUUCUGGUGGGCCAUCCCAGUGGAGGGACCUACACAGCCAUGUCUCCAUUUGCUUGGUGGCUGCCAAGUGUUGCAGGUGAUCAAUGUCCAGCUGCCAUAAUCAACAAUGGUGGCCACCAACCAUGCCAUAUGAUGAUUGGGUUUGGUGCUAACUACAAGAAGGAAAUUAGGUUCUUGUCCAUAAUUUGGCCUACCUUUGAUUAAGCCUAUAGAAAGCCAUCAAUUCUAGUGGUGAAAAAUAAUAUCCAUGCAUCAUCAAUCAUGAAUUGACUAAUUCUUUAUGCCUUUUUUAGGGGAUAGACCAUCAUCAUCGUCAUCAUAGUCAAGCAAUCAAUCAAGAUAUCCAUUCCUUUAAUAAUAUAAUAUUUUUAUCAUUGAGGGUACAUUUAUUAUAAUUCAUAAUCAUUGAUUGAAAAAUAUAUAAUAUAUAUAAUAUUAUAAAAAAAUCUAUAAUAUAGUGAAAAAGAUAAUAGACAUAUUCUUCAUCAUUAUACCACCAUAAAUAAAUAUAUUUUUUUAAUAUAUAUAUAUAAUAAAUUUAAGACUCAAACGAUCCAAUUGAUCGAUCGAUCUGAUCUAAGUUUUGCGACUAUGAUCAUGAGCCACUCAUCGAUCGAACCAUGCAUGAGCCUCAUCUCAUCUAUCGUCAACCAACAGAGGAUCGACGGUUCAUUUUGGGUCUGAAUCGAUGGCGGGUCUCCUCUUUCCUUGUCUAUCUAUGUAGUCUCCUAUGACUGCUUGAUAAGAGACCACGUUUAUCCACUUGGAAGAACGGCUCUUGUACGGUCUAGUUUGACUCCGUCGCAAUUAGCUGGCUCUAUAUAGAUUUUAUUGCGCAGGAUCUGCCGACAGAUCCACUUAGAUUCCGUCAUCCACCACGACGUCUCAUUUGUCGGCUGUCCUCAUCACGCAUCCGAUGGCGGAAGCAAAGCACCCAAGACGAAAACACUGGGUGUAAGCCAGUUGACUUGGUCAACUAAUAUGGGUCCCUUCCCCCGCGGCCAGUAAGAAGGCUCAGAAUGUCGUAUCCUGCUUGAGCAAUUACAUGUCAGCCGCGACCGGAUUCAAUUCCGUCGUCGUCACCGCCCGUGUCAUCUUUGUUGCGCUAUGAUAGGGUGGAUGGAAAGGGAUGCAGCUGAGCCCCGUUCUUCGGAAGGAGCCAUGCACGUUCCUGAGGAAGAAGGCUACUUCUUCUCUGGUGGGUAUUGAGGCAUGGGACACCAUGACCGCUCACCCACUCUUAUUGUCGUCUUGCGAUUGCCUGUUUCGUGUGGUUUAGGGUUCCAAGUUGAAGUACGAACAAGCAAUCCAAUCUCAUCAUCCAUGGCCACGAAGUAGACAGGUAUCUUAGUCUGAAAAAUCCAAUCUUUCAUAGAUAUUUUUUUGUCUAUUUUGGAAUCGCAGAAGACAAAAAGAUUCCACGUUGAAACAGCCUUAGCCAUGAGAAUUCUUUCAAGGGAUACAUCUUUGCUACCAGGGAAGAAUCUUGUAUUUAGCUCUGGCUGUUUGCCCCCACCAAGAGAAAUAUGACAGGGAGCAUCUUCUAGAUAUCUUGGUUGAGAUCAACCAGGCAUCAAGUAGCACAACAACAUAAUUGAGAUGAUGCCAUGGACUUCUUACUAAGAUGAUAGUGAGUCUAGUAUACAGCUCAUACCAUGUAUGUCAUACCGACCUGAAUAAUGUUCAUGUGAGGAACACUCAAAUUGGCUGCACCUGCCCGGCAAUUCCUCCUCAAGAAUGCAUAGAAGUAGUUUAUGACGAGCUUCUUCCAGAACCAGGACUCCUUUCUUGCCCUCACAUCUCCAUGGGCCAACAGAUAUGUGAAUCCAGAAUCCAUUGCUUCUCUUAGAGCCGAAAGUUCAUAUUCCAAACUGGGAUCUUCGUCGGAAGUGAUAGAGCUUGACGGAAGCAAUGAAACUCCUGCUUCAGAAGUAGCGCGAUUUCUACGGAUUCCUGUAUCAGAUAACAGUGGAAUUUGCAGUUCAUCAACUCCACUCGGUGCAGCGGAAUCUUGGGACCUUACAGACUCAUGAUCAUGCUCGAUGUCGAUUGGACUCGUCUCCAAUGCAAGCUCUUGAGCCUCCCUUCUCAAAAACUUCUCAAGGCUCUCCACCAAGAGCUGCUCAAAAUUGUGGUGGUCUUCCUUCCGGAUAUCCUUGUAUCCAUAACGGGCAACGCAACGGAACAUAUGGUAGUCCUUCUGGCAGACUCUCCGAAACAAGAACCUUUCCUCUUGGGGGACAACCGGAACAGGGACAUACUUGAUGCAGACAAAAACGAUGGUGGAAUGAAUUGCAGGGAGGGUAAGCAGAAACUGUCCAAAUAUUGAAGGAAUGCCUUGGACUAGCUCAUUGUACACAAGUCCGAUGCCAGGGACCCUAACGGAGCCAAGGGUGGAUCCAAGCUCAACCAUGAAGUCCAUGGAUAUCUUCUCUCGAAUCUCACUCUGAUACUUCAACACACUUCCAUAGUUCCAGGUGUACAUGACACAUAGAAAGCAGGUAGCAAAAGCAAGAGGCAGCCAGCCGCCUUCCAUUAUCUUGGAAAGAACUGCACACAGGUAAAUAAACUCUACUGUACCAAAUACGGCGGGAAAACAUAGAGCAAUAAACAGAUUGGUUUGCCAUAUAAGAAGCAUCACUAGUGUCACCAAUGAAGUGCUCACCAUCAUCACCAGAACCUCCGCAAUACCUAGAGAAAGAACCAAAUCAGUCAUUCAGCUCCGCUAUUUGCAUUAAUUUAUCAAAACAUCAAGAAAUUACAUGAAUUACAUAGGUCAUCUAUGAGAUGGAAAUUGACAAUAUGGCCGAGAGAGGUGAAAAAAUAAAGAUGAAAAGAGAACAUGAAGAAUCCAGCAAUAACUAAUUAAAAAUUAUAAAUAAAUAUAUAAUUCUACAGGAAAUUUUGAAAAGGUGCUUCUUAACAAGAAGAUAAAAAGUCUAGUUACCAUAGGCAUUGGCGAUGUCUGUAGUAUUCCGGAAAGUAGCAACAACGAUUAUGCACAUAAUCAUCAGGAACCAGUUGAUGACAGGAAUAUAGAUCUGACCCAUGAAUUUCCUGGAUGUAUGGAUAAUCUUAAUCCUGGGAAAGCAACCAAGGGCCAUGGAUUGCUUUAUGCAGGAAAAUGUUGCUGAAAUCAUGGCCUGACUGGCAAUCAUGGCCGCGAGCGUGGCAAUGACAAAGACUGGCCAGAAUAAAAUAUCUAUACAACAAAUUGACAUCAAAUAAUGUGUAAGCUAGUUACAAGGUAAAUCUUUGGACUAGAAAAUUAAUCUUUAAUUUAACUUAGAUUGAAUAGUAUAGAGAAGGCUCACCUGGGACAGAAUCAUAGAAGAUUCCUUCCACUGAAAAUGGAUGUUUCAUCAAAUACGCAGCUUGGCCCAUGUACGCCAAAAGAAGACAUGGAAAUACGGUAGAUGUGAAGGCUAUCUGCACAUACAGUAGGAGUUAGUGAAUAAAAACUGUCUUAAUUGCAGGGGUCGAUCACGGCAUCACCCUAAAGAAAGAUAACUGUGAUAAACCUGUAUAGACUUUACAGAGAAAUGGCCCAGGUCAGCAAACAUUGCUUCAGCUCCUACAAACAUGAAGCAAAAGGAAAUUCCAUGAAAUAUACAUAAUAUGUCAAAGCAGAGGUCAGAAGCUAGUCAAAAUACAUUUAGCUGGUAAUAAAGCUAAAAAAAGCACUAGGGAGGUAGGAAAAGUUCUCUCAACACAAUGUAUAUGCCUACCACAGCCACAGAAAAAAACAUAAAGCACAAUCACGUAUAUUAUCUCUUUUGGUUAUUUGCACUGUAACGAGUAUUGCAUCAGGUGCUUUCAUCAAUGCAGUACCCAAAAAAAAACACAAGAUGCAUGGAAACAUAUUAAAUCAUUCAGAUCUAUUUACGAAAGGCAUCCCUGGCAUUGACGAUUAUUCAUUAAAUAAUUAAGUUUCCUUAGAUCUUCCUCUUACUGCAGCUGACUCAAUGUGGUGCUUAUCAUUUAACCAAGGAAUGUCGAAACUUUAAACUAUCUGGAUCUACAGUAGCAGUCAGUUACGAUGUGGAAUUUGUUAACUCAUUGAUACUCCAUGGUACAUUGCCUUUCUCAAUUUUCUUUUUGUCUGUGUCAAGAUGGCGGUACCAUGUUGUCACGGCCUUCCGCUGUAUCACGCCAAGUGGUGUGCCAGUGUUCUGUAAGCACAACUUUAGCUCACUCUCACCAUAAUAUAUCACAAUUUUGAUUAUACUCCUUGAGGGCGAGCGUCGACACCACGGUCAAGGAAAUAAACUCGUUACUUAAAAAUAAGGGUAAGACUGCCUUCCCAGCCCUUGUAUCAAUGAGAGACUUAUAAACUAAGCAACUAUUUUUAUUUUGAAUAUUCUCCUUGCACUAGAUGAACUAAAUAAUCUUUAAUGACGACAAAACAAACAAAUUAUUCUUGAGUUCCCAUUUUUUUAUCUUAGGCUGUUAAGAUAAUACUAGAUCUACCUACAAGAUAUUCUAAUACAAUCAAAACAACUAUGACUUAUUAAGGCCAAAUAAUAAAAAUAAGCAUAUAUGUUACUCAUCAAAACUGACCUACCAAGUUGCUCUAAAUUUUGACCACAUGACUUUAUUCAGCUUGGACAUGAUUAUAUUCUUCACAGGAUGCAUUAGGGUUAUUACUAGCUUUGAGUUAGAUUUAGCGUUAACGAUAAAACUAUCCUCAAUCACUGUAUCAGAAGUGUGAUCUAUGGUGUGAAGUGUAAGCCAAUAUCCUAAGUCAUUAUAAUCCUCAAUCACUAUAUCAGAAGUAUGAUCUAUGGUGUGAAGUGUAAGACAUUACCCUAAGUCAUUUUAUAAUGUCUUCAAAUCUAGAUUACCCAUAAAACUUAAAGAUGUAAGUGAUGUCGAGUCACUACACUCUUCAUGGCUAAUGGCUAUACUUCCAUUGAAGUACAACAAGCCUUAGCCACCCAAAUCCGGAUUAAGCCUUUUGGUAGAAUUCUGGGGUUGGCGCACUUCCACAUGCUUAAAAUACGGUUGGUGCACCGCCACAUUAAAGUCCAAGUGACCGCACUCCUCUUUACUUUCUUGCUCUUUACCCAUCUAUAGUCAAUAAACCACACUAGCCAAUGACAGAAUUAUCUGAAAACCAAAUCUAGAGACUGAAAUGUUGAGAUUUGAUUCAUAGUUAUCUAGGUAGUUAUCAUGAUCUAGUAGUUAUAGGGUGAUUUCAAUAACUACCUCAAUCAUGAUCUAGUAGCUAUAAGGUGGUUUCAAUAACUGCCUCAAUCAUGAUCUAAUAAUUAUAGGGUGGUUAUUACUAGGUCCUAUAAAUAGGACCAUAGUUCAUGAAACAAGGUAUAUAGAGAGUGUGUGCACUUGGGAAUAUCUUGUAAGUGUUCUUGUCAAUCCUCCUGUUUUUAAUACUAUAAUAGUAUUCUGUUUUUUCCUUGCUCCUCCAUCCCCAACAUUUGUGGUAUCAGAGCCUAGUUUCAAUAUGAACUGGGCAUUAUGACUUUCAACGGCAAUUCCAUGUCUCAACCCUUAUCCCAAUCUUCUCCAGCAAAUGCUAUGAAUUUUGGAGUAUCAAGAUGAAGACUCUAUUCAAGUCUCAAGAUCUUUGAGACUUAAUAGAGAAUGGAUAUGCGGAUCCGGAUGAUGACGACAGGUUGACUGAUGAAGGAUCUAGUUCGAAGAGGAACAAGGGUGGAAAGAAGAACAGAAGAGGUAGAGAUUAUGAGGAUGAGGAAUGGACAGGUGAGAUCGAAGAAGAGAAUGAUGCUGUUGGAAUUGGAAAUGCCAGGAGAUCCAGGCACUCUACUAGAUCUAAAGACCCAAAAAGGCCACGUAACGAUAAUUUAGCUGGUACAAAGAAACCUGUGAAAGGCAGAGAUGUUAAUCGUUGCAAGGAUGAACUCGACGACGAAGAGGAAGACGUUGAUGAGUGACUAUAACAAGAAGGAACCAGUUUGUGUUGGUUCAUGGAAGUUUAUUCCGCACUACAAAAAAGUAAGUUGAAUUCCCUUUGUAUCUCAUGACAUGCAUAUAUGUACUAUAGUUGAGUAAUAGCCCAUCUCUGAAUCUUUUCUCUUUUCUGUAUACUAACCAGAAAAUCUAGAAUUGUUUACAAUGUUGUAGGCCAAUCUUAGUGGUUUCAAGACUUGUUUUGUCAAAAACAUAGUAAAAUAUCAUAAAUUUUUUAAUGUUGGGGAUGGAGGAGCAAGGAAAAAACAGAAUACUAUUAUAGUAUUAAAAACAGGAGGAUUGAUAAGAACACUUACAAGAUAUUCCUAAGUGCACACACUCUCUAUAUACCUUGCUUCAUGAACUAUGGUCCUAUUUAUAGGACUUAGUGAGAAUCACCUUAUAACUACUAGAUCAUGAUUGAGAUAGUUAUUGAAAUUACUCUAUAACUACUAGAUCAUGAUUGAGAUAGUUAUUGAAAUUACUCUAUAACUACUAGAUCAUGAUUGAGGUAGUUAUUGAAAUCACCCUGUAACUACUAGAUCAUGAUAACUACCUAGAUAACUAUGAAUCAAAUCUCAACACUCCCCCUUGAUUCAUAGUUGCAUGUACCGAUUUGCGACAUAAAAUAAACAUGCUUUUGAACUGGAAGCGACUUGGUGAGGAUAUCCGCAACUUGUUCAUUUGUUCCACAAUACUUCAUUGUUAUGGCUCCACUUGCUACAAGAUCUCGGAUGAAAUGAUAGUGUAUCUCUAUGUGCUUCGUUUUUCCAUGAAAUGUUGGAUUCUUCAUCAUGACAAUAUGGCUUAGAAGACUUCUUGAAGAUCUUCAUCAAGAACAAAAAGAAGCAACAUAAAUAUUUUGUGACAAUAAAGUCAUAAUUACAAUGACGAAGAAUCCAACAUUUCAUGGAAGAACAAAGCACAUAGAGAUACGCUAUCAUUUCAUCCGAGAUCUUGUAGCAAGUGGAGUCAUAACAAUGAAGUAUUGUAGAACAAAUGAACAAGUUACGGAUAUCCUCACCAAGUCGCUUCCAGUGCAAAAGCAUGUUUAUUUUAUGUCGCAAAUCGGUGUAUGCAACCAUGAAUCAAGGGGGAGUGUAGAGAUUUGAUUCAUAGUUAUCUAGGUAGUUAUCAUGAUCUAGUAGUUACAGGGUGAUUUCAAUAACUACCUCAAUCAUGAUCUAGUAGUUAUAGGGUGGUUUCAAUAACUACCUCAAUCAUGAUCUAGUAGUUAUAGGGUGAUUAUCAUUAGGUCCUAUAAAUAGGACCAUAGUUCAUGAAGCAAGAUAUAUAGAGAGUGUGUGCACUUGAGAAUAUCUUGCAAGUGUUCUUGUCAAUCCUCCUGUUUUUAAUACUAUAAUAGUAUUUUGUUUUUUCCUUACUCCUCCAUCCCAAUAUGAAAACCACUUAGAAGUUAAUUAUUUUAAAUGGUUGAUGAUUUUAAAAGACUUACAUGAAGUUAAGCUGGGUAUGUGAACAAACAACGAUUAUACGCAUUAAUGUACAGAAUCAGAUUUCAGUUUCUUCUCAUCUUUAGAAAUUUCAACCAGUGUACUAGGAUAAUCAAAUUAAACAAAUUAGGAAAAUAAUAUUGGACAAAAAAAAUCCAUAAUGAAGUAUUUGAAAAGAAUCAUUAAGAAAAAAAAAAGGAUAAUUAUCUGAAGUUAUGUAGUUAAAGAAACCUGUGAUGCACAGAACACAACCGCCAAGAGCAGACCAUGCUUUAGUGCUGUUUCUCUUGAAAAAGAAAUAUAUAUAUGCUGGAUUGAAUGCUCUUAGAACAGAAAUAUCAUACUUAAGUAUGUUGUAUAUUCCAAUGGACCCCAAACUGAAGAACCAAAGUGCCAAAAUAGGAGCAAACAAGAAACCCACUUUGCCGGUCCCAAACCUUUGUAUACUGAACAAUACUACAAGAAUUACAAUUGAGAAAAUGACCACGGCAUCUGCAAGAAGAAAUUAAAAUAUCAUGAGUUGACACGAAAUUGACAGUACUAACAAUUUCAAGCUAAAAGGGAAAAUAUGGCACUGUAAUGGCUUGUGCAUGUUGGUUCAGAUGCAACAAAAAACUGUCACCAACCUGUGUCGAAUCCUGAAAUUCUGCCUUGAAGGCCGCUCACCGCAGACAUAACUGCACAUGAAACGGCUAUGAGAUAUAAACAUUAAGCAGAGUUUAGACAGCAUAACCACAGCCAAGGAACUAAUCCCUACUAGUUAGAAAUGAGAGAGCAACUGCAUGUGAGAAAAAUAAACUGGAAAACUGAUGUACCUGACAUGGAUGGAGUAAGAAUGCCAUCUCCAAUUAUCAUAGAGGUACCCAUCAGGACCAAUAACAACAGAAGACGUUUUGAAAAAGAAUUUUUCUCCAAGAGUUCUUUUAUGUAUAGUGCUCUUUCUAGCUCUGGAGUAGGCAGCUUGAGCCUAAAGCUGGAGAUAUCUUCAUCGGCACGCUGCUGAUUUGGAAGUAGACUAACCUUGGCAUAUCUGCAUAUCAGUGAAUACAAUGCAAAAGUUCCUCCUGCAGGCACAGAUGCAGUGAGUGUGGAACAAUCAGAACAUAGUGUCUUUCAAAUUGAAACAUGAUACAUCACAAGCAAUACAAAUAAUAAAUAAAUGUGUAAAUAUGAUAUUCAUUUUCUCAGAUAAAUAACUUGAAUUCUGUAAAUUAAACAGCUACAUGUGAAGUUGUGAAAAGGCAUGGAACUUUUCCAGAGUCUUUCAAUACCUUCACCAUUGUCAUUUGCUUUCAGCACUAUAAAGAUGUAUUUUGCAAAAGGAAUGAGUGCGAUUGUGUACAUCACCAAGGAUAAGGCACCCAAAACAUCAACUUCUGAUUUAAUUGGGACUUUGCUGAAGACAUCACUAAAGACAUAUAAGGGACUCGUGCCCAUGUCACCAUAAACAACACCAAGAGUCUGAAAUGCCAUAGCAACCGUGCUCCAGAUUGAGAUGUCCUGUUCGAUUUGUAGUGAAAGAGUGAGAAAGCAAGACGAAGUUAGAUUCCACCGAUACCACACUAUACGGAGAAAAGCUCCAUCGACAGAAUAGGAAGCAGGACACCGUAUACCACACUAUGAACGCAAGAAAAUCCAACAAAAUCGAAAAUAACACGUUUGUCAUUAGCAAGAGCAAAGUUCCAACGACACAAUAGGAGGCACCGAACACCAAUGACCCGCCUCCCGAGAUGGUACCUUUUCGCGACGCUUGUGAGCGUCGGCGAUGUCCAUGGCCUCCACGUCCAGCGAGUCCACGCUCCGCGCCUUCUUCACCAGCCUCCGCCGCAGCGUGGCCUGCAGCUCCGGCCCCAGCACCAACGCCUCCUCCUCGAUGGACCACGGCGGCGACUCCGAGUCCACCUCGCUGCCGUCAACCCACCGCACCGUGCGGGCGCUGCUCGCCUCCUCGACGAUCCCGCCUUCCUCCAUACCUUUCCUACCCCCUCACUCCUCCAAGAUCGGAUUUUGGACGCCUCUUCCCCUUGGUUCUUCCCAGCCGAAGCGAGGGAGAAGAAGAGACUUUUCUAUCUCUGACACUGAAGCCAGCACGGUUCUCGUAGAAGCGGAGUUGUGUUUGGAGACAGAGCAGGGCCCACAAGGGGUAACCUUUUGGGUGGAAUCGACGGUGGGUCUAAUGGCGACGUUUGAAACGUGCGCUGCUAACCAACGGUUACGUGUAUGGAUAUCGAUGAUGGGCAUAAACAAUGCACAUGGUAGCAUAACCCAUCCUAUAUAUUCCUCUCUCACCAGUAUAUUCAAUGUUGGUCCGGAAACCUGCCUUGUGAUUGGGACAGAUUUCGAGUCAUUCUUGGGACCCACCUAUCAGCCACCGAUGGCCACAAUCAAAAGGCUGGUAGAUCAUUUGGUAGAGGAGAAUGGGAAGGAAAAGAAACAUCGUGUCAUAUUGGUCCGUGUCUUCAUAUAUUAUUAUGGGAAUUAUAUCAGAUAUAGGGAUAUCAAAGAGACUUGGUGACACCAGUGAGUCAACUAAUUGACCCAUGGUUCAAGAAAAAUAUUAUUUUCGCUAUAAAUACUACAUUAUUGUGUAUAUUUUAUGAUAUAUAUAUAUAUAUAUAUAAUAUUUGAUUUGUUUUUUCUUUGGUUUCUUGCACUUUAUUCUCUCCUUUCUGUCAACAAGAUAUUUCGUAAUACUUCUUUUAUUUUAUUCUUAUCUUUUUUUUGAAAUUUAUAUUUAAUUUUACUCUCAAAUUUAUUAUUAUUUUUAUGUGUUUACUAGUUUAAUUGAUAAAAAUUUUAAUAAAUCAGACUUGAAUCUUGAUUUUAUCACUUAUUCAUUAUAAAAAAAUAAAAAUGAGAUUGACUAUAGUGCUUCAAUCACCAUCAAUAAUAUAAUACUUUAAAUUAUCUUUAUAAAAACCUGGAAUAGUCUUGAGAGAAUAUUAAUGUGAGAGAUAUCGAUAAUGUUUGGAUUAACCCAAUUUGGUUCAAAUCUAUGUAAAAAAAUUUAAGUGAAGUCGAGAAUAUCUUCGAAGCUUAAUUGAGCAUCGACCUACACAUAGAUCGUUCAUCGUGCAUCCAGUGAGGUUCUAGAUAUGAUUUAUCUGAUAGUUUAAUUAAUCAUGAAACAAAAAAUAAGAAUUGUAAAUAUACAAUAAUUGAUAUCGAUUAAAAUUUUUUAUAAUAUAUUUUUUUUAUAUGGGUGAAAUAUUUUUUUUUAUUUUUUUUAUAUCAANNNNNNNNNNNNNNNNNNNNAUAUAUAUAUAUAUAUAUAUAUAUAUAUAUAUAUAUAUAUAUAUAUUAAAUAUAUAAAUAAUACUAAAUAUAUUAUUAAUUUAUAUUUAUUAUUUUUUUAGGGAUCCAAUAAAUAAUCUUAGAAGAGUUGUAUGUCUACGUCUCAUGUUAUAAAGUAACUUUCCAAAGGAGAACCUCUUAUAUAUAUGUCCAUGUUCUUUAAUGAAUUGAUACUGCUAUGAGAUGAGUUGUAUAUGCCUUAUGAAGACAAACAAUGCAAGAGCAUUUGAUUAUGAUGUAAUGAAAUUAAAUUCUAACAUAUAGAAAGAUGAUCCAAGUGUCUUUUCCUUUGUCACACCACAAGAAUUUACCCAUGCAAAGUGGCUUCAUUUAUUGGGAAGGUGGUGAAGCUGAAAAUGAUUGAAAUCUAUGUGUCAAAAGUCAAGUGGAUAGCUGUUUCCCUCAACAAUGCCAUGGUUUUCUUGUCUUCACCUCAAAACAAAGCAUCACAUCAUUUCUUCAUAUGACUUUGUGCACUCAUAUUAUAUUACAAUAAGACGACAACCAGUCACAGAUCUUUUUCAUGGGUUUCCAGUUAUUGGAUAUCUCUCUUCACAAUUGAGUGAAGAAAGGUCCUUGUGAUCACCUCCAAAAAGUAGCAAAAAGGGUCAGAAGAAAUGACUGGAAUAACUCUGGCUAAAAGAAACAUACAGAUUGUAUUCUUUUCAUCUCUUCCAUUCUUGUGGUACUUCAGCUGGAGAUUGGGGUUGUGUUCCGUGGAGCUCAGCCAAAACUCCAUCUCCUUGUUGAGUCUGCAUGAAGGUUUCAGGAAGCAGAUCUCUGCAGCUUUUACUCACCUAACAUCAGAAACAGAAGGGUGUUCCACAUAUCAAUGGGGCCAGGCAAGCACCAGUGCACGCAGUCGUUGUACAGGGUGACGUUCUCAUGCGCCCAAUGGCCAUAUCUACUCGGAUGCCCAUCGGGCCUCAGCAGCAUCGCUCGCGUGGUGUCCAACAUCUUCAACUCCACUCCCUUUGCCCUCCCCACACUCUCGGCUUCCCUGAACUCCUCCACUUGUGCCUCGUAGAACUCGAGAUCCAAUCCCUCCAGCCUCGUCUCGUUGCCCCGGAACGGCCUCGUCCUCACGCAAUUCCCUCCCUUGUUCCACUCCCCGUUCUCGAAGUGCGACGGCGAGACCGUUCUCAGGAAGACCUUCCCCCCGAAGCCAUCGAGCUCGGUGAUGGCGCGGAGAGCGGUCCGGAAGGCCAUCCUGUGGGAGUACCGCAGCGUCAGGUCGGUGACGUUGUCAACCAGGCAGAAGUGGCAGCCGACGAUCACUCCCUUCUCGUAGAACAUGGCUGGCCGAGUGAACCAGUUGCCAUCGGAUAUGAUCACGUAGUCGAACUCGCGGAUUCGGGACGCCCAGGUGUCGUCGACCUCGUCGAGGUAGAGGUUCCACAGGCCAGUAUGGUUGGGGCCGUCUGUGUCUGCUUCCUGAGCUUUCACCAGGAACGGCGACCAGAAGGUUGAGAUGG
Molecule: long non-coding RNA, 40973 nt
Filed under: Musa acuminata (dwarf banana)
Lineage: Eukaryota; Viridiplantae; Streptophyta; Magnoliopsida; Zingiberales; Musaceae
Description: long non-coding RNA (MACU_LNC004133)
Source: RNAcentral